AAAAAUUUAUAGGAAUAACAUAUAUAAUAACAUAUAUGAAAAUCAAAUUUUACAAGGUGUAAAAGUUAGUAAUUUUAUAUUAAAAAAUUAAAAAGAACGAGUAAAACCGUACAUAUAUACACACAUGCACUCAUACGUAUGUACAUAUUUUUCCCGUAUCACAGGUACACAAUGUUGACCCCGAUGGAUACGGAGAAAUAGCUAUUUGUGCUCCUCGACAGAACUCACUGUUUUUUGUUAAAUUCUAUUUGCUAAUUCCUGAUGAACAAGUUAAUUUAAAAGUGCUAAAAAUAAAUAAACAGAAAAAAAAAACUAUUUUUCAAUUACUAUGUAAAACUAAAAAAAGUAAGCAUGAAAUAUCACCCAUGUGUGUACACUUUACUUCAUGCGGAGGAUGUAUUUAUCAACAUUUCAAUUAUACCUUUGAACGUGAAAUAAAAAAAAAAUUCAUACUAAGUUUAUGUGAAAAAUACAAUAUAAAUAUAUUAAUUAGUAGCGAACAUUUCUUACAAAAUAAUCCCUUACUAUCUAAACAAAAUGAAAAAAACGAUAACCAUGAAAUGGUGGAACUUGCACAAAUAAAAAAAGAAUAUAUGGAUUUUGAUUAUGAAGAAGAGGAAAAUGAAGACGAAAAAAAUAGUAAUAUAAAUAGUAACUAUUCAAAAGAAAGUUAUAUAUACAAUGAUAACAUUGUUAAUGAUAAUGAUAAAGACACACGUAAUACAUUUGACAAUGAUGAGCAAAAAGAUGAGCAGAGCUGUGCAAAAUUCUACGAUUUUAUCUUUUCCAAUGAUUAUUAUUACAGAAAUAAAACAUCAAUUCAUUUUUCAGUUACUGAUAAACUACAUAUCGGUUUUUAUAAAAAACAGAGUUAUGAUAUUUGUAGCAUAGAUAAAUGUUAUGUAAAUGAUGAGCUCAUACAAAAUAUAUAUGAAGAAAUUAAAAAAGAAAUAAUACACAAUUUUAAAAAAAAUAAUAUAUAUAUCUAUAACAAAAUAAAUAGUAAUGGUUAUUUAAAAGGUGUGGACAUAAAAUUUAGUGUAUGUAAUAGUGGUGUUGCUAGGGGUGCUACUAAUGGUAUAGCUGAUGGUAUUAGUAGUAGUAUAACCAAUGGUACUACUAGUGGUAUAGCUACCAUUAAUAAUAAUAAUAAUAACUACAAUAGCAAUAAUAGCGGCGAUGACAAUGAGAAACAAAUAUUAAUUAACUUUGUCGGCUUUAGUUUGAACGAAAAAGCUAAAAACAAUUUGGUUGUUAUUGCAAAUAAUUUAGCUAAAAAAAAUAAACUAAUAAAAGGGGUUUUAUAUAAUGUAGAAACUAAUAAAUUCAAACAGAGAAGAACUGAAACUGUUUUAUAUGGGCAAAAUUAUAUUUACCAUACAUAUAAAAAUUAUACAUAUAAAAUUGGAGGUAAUACAUUUUUUCAACCAAAC
RNAcentral lists this long non-coding RNA (1433 nucleotides) under Piliocolobus tephrosceles (Ugandan red Colobus). RNAcentral describes it as "lncRNA (ENSPTEG00000002689.1)". The record is from RNAcentral. Lineage: Eukaryota; Metazoa; Chordata; Mammalia; Primates; Cercopithecidae.